Herpailurus yagouaroundi (jaguarundi) is the source of this 3069-nucleotide long non-coding RNA. RefSeq lists it as uncharacterized. The record is from RefSeq and is a predicted model, not a curated record. NCBI's taxonomy places the organism in Eukaryota, Metazoa, Chordata, Mammalia, Carnivora, Felidae. The transcript has 4 exons.
UACUCUAUCCAGUGUUAAAAGUAAGGUGUUGAAGUUCCCUACUAUUAUUGUAUUGCUAUCUACUUCUCCUUUGAGUUCUGUUAAUAUUUACUUUAAAUAUUUAGGUGCUUCAAUGUUGGGUGCAUAUAUACUUAUAAUUGUUAUAUCUUCUUGAUGAAUUGACUCCUUUUGUCAUGUUAAUUUUAGAAUGACAAUUAUACAUCCAACUGAAGUGUAAAUAUUCUAUACUCACAUAUUGUUAACCCAAUCAUAGACAUACAAUCAGGAAUGUAGGACAUAUGGGUUUAGACUUCAGAAUAAAGGUCUGGAUAAAGAAGAUAUAUUUGGCAGUUAUAUCCAUGUUGAUGAUUUUUAAAGCCACGAGACUAAAUUUUACCACCUUUAGAGGUAUAUAGAUAGAAGAGGGAAGAGGUUUGAAGAAUGAGCACUGAACCACUAUACUAUGUACAGAUUGGGGUAUAUGGAAAGAGAACACCAAAAAAAUAGGAGGAGAACCAAGAGGAAGUGGCAUCCUAGAAAGCUUGCAAAGAAAAUGUCUCAAAGUGGAAGUGAUCAAUUGUAUUAAAAGCUUAUGAUAGCUAAGAUAAAGACUGAGAAUUUACCAUUGCAUAUAGCAAUUGUGGGGCAAUUGGUGACCUGAUAUAAGCAGUUUCUAUUAAGUGUUAAUAGCAAAAACCUACUUGAAAUAGAUUAAAUAGAAAAGAAAGCUCAGAACAGAAAAUUAAGUUUCGCAACAGUCUGGGAUAAAGAAAUGAGGUAAUAAUUGAAUAAGAGUAUGGAACCAAGACGUUUUUUUUUUUAAACUGUUAUAAUAUGUUUGUAUGCUAAUAGUAAUAAUCUAGGAGAAAGGAAAAAUGAUAAUGAAAAAGAUGGAAGAGGGAUAAAUGUUGGAGUGAUGUCUUUGAGUAGGUAGAGGGUAUCAGACCUAGAGACAAGAGGAAGCAUUAGACUUUGAGAAGAGCAUGGACCAUUCUUUUCUAACAUCAAAAAGAAAGGCAGAUUUAAGCAGAUAUGAUGAUGAGAGCUUGAAAAUUGUCUCUAAUGAUCUCAUCCCUCUUUUCACAGAAAUGGGAAGCAAGCUCAUCAGCUGAGGGGAGAUGGUGUUGAAGGUUUAACGACAGAGAAGACAUGGAAUGAUUAAGCUGGCUUUUCCAUGUUGUUGCUGUCCUUCUGAUCCACUCUGGGAGAGAACAAAGUCACCAAUGCUCAGUGAAGAUCCUGCUACUUGGUUUAACUACAUUUCUCAGAUGAAUGGUGGGUACAAAAAGGAAUAACAAUGGAGGAGGACAAACAAACAAAAGAUGACUUCUUAGGACUUCUAAGAUAUAAAGGCCUCAUCCUUCUAUAAGAAUUAUUCUCCCAAGAAAGAGGAGCACGAUUGCCACCAGAGAAAGAGGAGGAUAUGAUAUAGAAGCCAUGGUGCACAGGGUAGGGAAGUGGAAAACUGGGAGGGGAGAAAGGACAGGAAAUGAGAAAAGGGCAGGAAAAUGUAUGUGCUUGUCUUUCUUCCACCUUAGAGGUUAAUCUGCAAGGGAGAGAAAGUAGAUAUACUGAAAUACAUUCUGAAGUUCCUCAAACGUGGCACAUCACAGAGAAGUUCUACACUCAGCCUGGGGUAGCAUGUUAGAGAGCAUUGACAGAAGAAGAUUCUAGAUGGAUGGGCCAUGACAUCCCAUGAUCUUCAUGUGCCAAGGGGAGGUCCAAAGUUCCUGAUGAACCCGCGAGGAAUGCAGAAGUGCUGAGAAAAUGCUGGGUCUGAAGAUGCCUCAGGACCAAGGGAACCCCCCGCUCCUGACAGAAGGUCCAAAAGAGGUGGAGCUUGUGACCCAGUGAAGGAGACACAUGUGUCAACAAAUCCGGUGCAGUAAAUGAUACAACUGAGGCAGGUUCGCAGUGUGGAAGAAACAUAGAACAAGAUUAAAUGGUUGGUUUUCUCAGGGUAGACGAUGUUCUAAUCAGACCCUGAAAGAUGAGAGUUUUCAUAGGUAGACUUCACUUGUCCCUGUGCUGAGGUGUCUCCCUGUGGAAUUCUUGCCAUUUAAGUCUCCUGAAAUCCCUCAUAUCAAACAUCACCUACUUCAUGAAAAUUUUUCUUAUUCUUCCCACCAGAUUUGAUUUCUCCUGUUUCCUAAUUUUCAUGGCACUCUCGACUUAGUAUCUGGGAAAUUCUCUGGAAAAUUCUCUCAGAUGGGAGAGACCUUAGCCAGAUUCUUCUGAACUGUGUUCAUUUUCAUAGUUGCUGAUCAAUAGCUCUGUAACAAAUGUCUAGUCAUAGGUAAUGUGAAAUAGCUAGCCUAGAACAUAUAAAUUAGUUUUCACAGUGAAGCUGAUUUUGCCUCUUCCGUCUCCAUCUUCUUUAGUCUUGCCAAGGGGAGAUUUGAUGAUAAAUAAGUUGUGAAAAAUAGAUUCCAGCUCAUGUCCUGUCCUUACAGUGUCUCAGAGGAUUUUCGUGGUUACUUUAUGAGGUAGGUACUAUUAUCCCCAUUUUAUAGAUGAGGAAGGAGAAACUCAGAAAUUUUAAGGCACUUGUCAAAUAUCACACAGCUGAUAAAUGGGAGCACUAAGAUGAAAUCAAAUUUGUCUGAUCCUGAAGCACAAAUUGUAUCUUGAUGAACAAAUGACAUCUUAAUGGAGAGCAUCUCCAGAGAUUACAGGUUUUACUGGGAGAUAAAGUUAGACACAAUUCUGACUUGCUUUGGUGAUCAAAAUUGGUUUAUUCCAGUCUAAAUCAGGUCACUAGGAGAUGGUAAAACUUGAUUAUUCCAUGGAAAAGAGACCUACCAUGGUAAAUUGUCAGGAAGAUUGUAUGUACAGAAAUAUUUGAAAACAAGGUGAGAGGGAUAUAUUUUUCUGUUUAAGUGUGGAACGCAAGAUAGAGACACCAAUGAACAAAAUGUAACAAAAUAUUCAGGUAGUGGGCUUAGCUCUGGAAAGUACAGGCUGCUCCAAUCAGUGCCACUGAUUACCACAAACAUUUCUUACAAAUGUGUCUGAUAUGCAAGUUUCUCCUUCAUUCUAUGCCACUAGUGACAUUAUUAAGUAAUAAAAAAAUGUUUGGUUGAAAAUGGA